UACGUAGGGUGCAAGCGUUGUCCGGAAUUAUUGGGCGUAAAGAGCUCGUAGGCGGUUUGUCGCGUCUGCUGUGAAAUCUGGGGCUCAACCCCCAGCCUGCAGUGGGUACGGGCAGACUAGAGUGCGGUAGGGGAGAUUGGAAUUCCUGGUGUAGCGGUGAAAUGCGCAGAUAUCAGGAGGAACACCGGUGGCGAAGGCGGGUCUCUGGGCCGUAACUGACGCUGAGGAGCGAAAGCAUGGGGAGCGAACAGG
RNAcentral lists this ribosomal RNA (252 nucleotides) under uncultured bacterium. RNAcentral's name for it is "partial 16S ribosomal RNA". It matches the Rfam family "Bacterial small subunit ribosomal RNA", at positions 524 to 776 of the family's 1533-position model. The record is from RNAcentral.